RNAcentral lists this long non-coding RNA (246 nucleotides) under Lathyrus oleraceus (garden pea). Its description in RNAcentral is "Pisum sativum (pea) long non-coding RNA (PSAT_LNC016171)". The record is from RNAcentral. Lineage: Eukaryota; Viridiplantae; Streptophyta; Magnoliopsida; Fabales; Fabaceae.
UGUGAAUUAGGUGGAGUUGGGAGUGGAGCUGAGAUAAUAGGGUGAAUCGUACCAUUGUUGGGUGUGUUUGCUGUGUUUUCUUGAAUUCUGUCUGUACUAGUUACUAUGGUGAAAAUGAAAUUGUUGCAAUAUUGUUACUACAAUACUUUUCCAACUUUCUCUUAUUUAUUUUGUUUUGAAAGUGGUUAUGUGGUUUACUUCAGUGAUUUGGUUGUAUGAGCUCAAAUGCAUCCUCUUGUGUUUUAC